This 750-nucleotide ribosomal RNA is filed under the name Klebsiella planticola. Its description in RNAcentral is "partial 23S ribosomal RNA". It matches the Rfam family "Bacterial large subunit ribosomal RNA", at positions 2181 to 2925 of the family's 2925-position model. Lineage: Bacteria; Pseudomonadati; Pseudomonadota; Gammaproteobacteria; Enterobacterales; Enterobacteriaceae. RNAcentral also lists the same sequence under 2 other names. The record is from RNAcentral.
UGGAGCCAACCUUGAAAUACCACCCUUUAAUGUUUGAUGUUCUAACGUAGACCCGUGAUCCGGGUUGCGGACAGUGUCUGGUGGGUAGUUUGACUGGGGCGGUCUCCUCCCAAAGAGUAACGGAGGAGCACGAAGGUUAGCUAAUCCUGGUCGGACAUCAGGAGGUUAGUGCAAUGGCAUAAGCUAGCUUGACUGCGAGCGUGACGGCGCGAGCAGGUGCGAAAGCAGGUCAUAGUGAUCCGGUGGUUCUGAAUGGAAGGGCCAUCGCUCAACGGAUAAAAGGUACUCCGGGGAUAACAGGCUGAUACCGCCCAAGAGUUCAUAUCGACGGCGGUGUUUGGCACCUCGAUGUCGGCUCAUCACAUCCUGGGGCUGAAGUAGGUCCCAAGGGUAUGGCUGUUCGCCAUUUAAAGUGGUACGCGAGCUGGGUUUAGAACGUCGUGAGACAGUUCGGUCCCUAUCUGCCGUGGGCGCUGGAGAAUUGAGGGGGGCUGCUCCUAGUACGAGAGGACCGGAGUGGACGCAUCACUGGUGUUCGGGUUGUCAUGCCAAUGGCAUUGCCCGGUAGCUAAAUGCGGAAAAGAUAAGUGCUGAAAGCAUCUAAGCACGAAACUUGCCCCGAGAUGAGUUCUCCCUGACUCCUUGAGAGUCCUGAAGGAACGUUGAAGACGACGACGUUGAUAGGUCGGGUGUGUAAGCGUAGCGAUACGUUGAGCUAACCGAUACUAAUGAACCGUGAGGCUUAACCUU